This is a long non-coding RNA of Mastomys coucha (southern multimammate mouse), 910 nucleotides long. RefSeq lists it as uncharacterized. The transcript has 4 exons. Lineage: Eukaryota; Metazoa; Chordata; Mammalia; Rodentia; Muridae. The record is from RefSeq and is a predicted model, not a curated record.
AUCAAUUAUAUGGUCAAUUUUGGAGAAGGUACCAUGAGGUGCGGAGAAGAAGGCAACUCCCAUAUCCUGACAAGAUGAUUGGGUUGGCAGCCACAGUGUGGACAACACAGUGGAACCAGAUUGGGAGCAAGAAUAUCCACCCACUCAGGACCUAGGGGUCCAUUCAGAGAUCAUUCAGCCAUGAGAGCCUAUUGUCAGAUGAGUGAAACCAAGCCUAUGCUUACUAUAGGCAGAUGGGUCCAUCACCAUGUGGCCACUUGUUCUGUGUUUAAGGAAACCAUGCUAAGAACUCUUCUGCUUGUUCAGCUGCCCACACAAGCAGACUGUGUUGGUCAGCAAGCUAAGGCCCACACCUGGGACAUCUGGAGCCCACCAUUGUCCAUUGUCAAUUUGAAGCCAGCCCCAGAGCAAGACAAUAUAGCUCUGCUGAAAGGAAGGUCGAAUUGCUGAACCCCCACAGUAGGUACCACAGAGAAGAGGGGAUUCCCAGGACUCUGGCUUAAUUUCUCUGGCUACCAUACUAAUCAUAUGCAUCUCACAAUUACUCUCUUUCUUUCUUUGUUUCUUUCUUUCUCUCUCUCUCUCUCCUUUCUUUCUUUCUUUCUUUCUUUCUUUCUUUCUCUCUCUCUCCUUCCUUCUUUCUUUCUUCCUUCUUUCCUUCCUUUCUUCCUACCUUUCUUUCUUUGUUUCUUUGUUUAUUUAUUUAUUGAGACUGCCCUUCUUCUGUCUCUGAGCUCUGUCCCACAGGCAAACUGCCUACAAAGAGGCUAAGCUAGUUAUCCCACCAUCUGAGAGAACUCCUCGCCUGCACUGGUUCCCAUAUGCUUAUUUUUCUUUAUUUCCCCUUCACUUGUUACCCCUCCCAAUCCUACUAUUAAAGAAUAUUUAAUUUCCAUUCUUUCCCAGCUAA